This is a non-coding RNA of Salmo salar (Atlantic salmon), 56 nucleotides long. The record is from Rfam. NCBI's taxonomy places the organism in Eukaryota, Metazoa, Chordata, Actinopteri, Salmoniformes, Salmonidae.
AUAUGUAAAAUAUGACUAAGACGCUUUGGAUAAAAGCGUCUGCUAAAUGUCAGAUA